This 494-nucleotide ribosomal RNA is filed under the name uncultured bacterium. RNAcentral describes it as "bacterial SSU rRNA". It matches the Rfam family "Bacterial small subunit ribosomal RNA", at positions 27 to 518 of the family's 1533-position model. The record is from RNAcentral.
UUCUGGCGUCAGGAGUGAACGCUGGACAGAAUGCUUAACACAUGCAAGUCGAACUUGGAAUUGGGUUUUAACUUAGGUUUGGGUGGCGGACGGGUGAGUAACGCGUAAAGAACUUGCCUCACAGCUAGGGACAACAUUUGGAAACGAAUGCUAAUACCUAAUAUUAUGAUAAUAGGGCAUCCUAUAAUUAUGAAAGCUAUAAGCGCUGUGAGAGAGCUUUGCGUCCCAUUAGCUAGUUGGAGAGGUAACGGCUCACCAAGGCGAUGAUGGGUAGCCGGCCUGAGAGGGUGAUCGGCCACAAGGGGACUGAGACACGGCCCUUACUCCUACGGGAGGCAGCAGUGGGGAAUAUUGGACAAUGGACCAAGAGUCUGAUCCAGCCAAUUCUGUGUGCACGAUGAAGUUUUUCGGAAUGUAAAGUGCUUUCAGUUGGGAAGAAAGAAAUGACGGUACCAACAGAAGAAGUGACCGGCUAAAUACGUGCCAGCAGCCGC